GACGAACGCUGGCGGCGUGCCUAAUACAUGCAAGUUGAGCGCUGAAGGUUGGUACUUGUCCCAACUGGAUGAGCAGCGAACGGGUGAGUAACGCGUGGGGAAUCUGCCUUUGAGCGGGGGACAACAUUUGGAAACGAAUGCUAAUACCGCAUAAAAACUUUAAACACAAGUUUUAAGUUUGAAAGAUGCAAUUGCAUCACUCAAAGAUGAUCCCGCGUUGUAUUAGCUAGUUGGUGAGGUAAAGGCUCACCAAGGCGAUGAUACAUGGCCGACCUGAGAGGGGGAUCGGCCACAUUGGGACUGAGACACGGCCCAAACUCCUACGGGAGGCAGCAGUAGGGAAUCUUCGGCAAUGGACGGAAGUCUGAACGAGCAACGCCGCGUGAGUGAAGAAGGUUUUCGGAUCGUAAAACUCUGUUGGUAGAGAAGAACGUUGGUGAGAGUGGAAAGCUCAUCAAGUGACGGUAACUACCCAGAAAGGGACGGCUAACUACGUG
RNAcentral lists this ribosomal RNA (497 nucleotides) under uncultured bacterium. RNAcentral describes it as "partial 16S ribosomal RNA". It matches the Rfam family "Bacterial small subunit ribosomal RNA", at positions 28 to 507 of the family's 1533-position model. The record is from RNAcentral.